AGGGAUCGGCACGACCUGGACCGUUGCUCUAGAUCGAACGCGUGAGUUUACGUGUGGCGUUCAAGUGACGUAGACACGCGCGUUGGACCUUAAAGCGCGGUCCUCCAGCAU
Molecule: microRNA precursor, 111 nt
Filed under: Dinoponera quadriceps
Lineage: Eukaryota; Metazoa; Arthropoda; Insecta; Hymenoptera; Formicidae
Description: microRNA dqu-mir-6039 precursor
Source: miRBase by way of RNAcentral